This 565-nucleotide small RNA is filed under the name uncultured Periconia. RNAcentral describes it as "eukaryotic LSU rRNA". The stretch from base 198 to 351 matches the Rfam family "5.8S ribosomal RNA". Lineage: Eukaryota; Fungi; Ascomycota; Sordariomycetes; Microascales; Halosphaeriaceae. The record is from RNAcentral.
AAGUCGUAACAAGGUUUCCGUAGGUGAACCUGCGGAAGGAUCAUUACACAUUCGGGGCGCUUCGGCGCUCCUUAUACACCCACCCUCUGCCUACGUGUACCUCUAUAGCUUCCUCGGCGGGCUCGCCCGCCGCCAGGAACCCACGAAACCCCUUGCAUUAUACGCGAAAACUUCUGAUAACAAACCUAAAUUAUCACAACUUUCAACAAUGGAUCUCUUGGUUCUGGCAUCGAUGAAGAACGCAGCGAAAUGCGAUAAGUAGUGUGAAUUGCAGAAUUCAGUGAAUCAUCGAAUCUUUGAACGCACAUUGCGGCCAUAGGUAUUCCUUUGGCCAUGCCUGUUCGAGCGUCAUUUACACCCUCAAGCCUAGCUUGGUGUUGGGCGUCUGUCCCGCCGUUUUCGCGCGCGGACUCGCCUCAAAGUCAUUGGCGGCGGUCGUGCCGGCCCCCUCGCGCAGCACAUUUGCGCUUCUCGGAGGCCCGGCGGAUCCGCGCUCCAGCAAGACCUUUCACGACUUGACCUCGGAUCAGGUAGGGAUACCCGCUGAACUUAAGCAUAUCAAUAA